AGCAGAGAGUGGGGACACCAGCCAGUAUGCUCCAAGCUGCAGGGACAUCUGAUAACUCUCCAAGAUGCAGAGACGUCUGAUCUUUAAGAAAGUUAUGAAGCCGUGUGGCAUUUCUCAUGACAGAAACUAUUUGAUAAUCUGUGGAGAAAAUAAGUAAGCACCAUGCGAUCACUUGGAAGAAGAAAGCAUCCACUGAGGGCGGAGUUUAUUUGGAGAACUGGCUGUCAUGGUUAGAGCGUCUGAGAGAUCCCACGGUAAACUGGGAAGGUGGAUCUGCCGUCAGUCUAAGUUUGAAGACUUCAGGACCAAGAAACCUCUCAGUCUGAGGCUGAAGGCUCAGAAACCCAAAUGGUUGUGAGUGCAGGUCUCAGAGUCCAAAGUCUGGAGACCCUGCAGGGUUGAUGCCCCAGACCAAAAGGAUACUCUGGUUUCUUGAGAAAUAAAUAAUAGUAAGUG
RNAcentral lists this long non-coding RNA (456 nucleotides) under Rattus norvegicus (Norway rat). RNAcentral describes it as "long non-coding RNA NONRATT006548". Lineage: Eukaryota; Metazoa; Chordata; Mammalia; Rodentia; Muridae. The record is from RNAcentral.